Molecule: ribosomal RNA, 559 nt
Filed under: Asterina zanthoxyli
Lineage: Eukaryota; Fungi; Ascomycota; Dothideomycetes; Asterinales; Asterinaceae
Description: eukaryotic LSU rRNA
Rfam family: Eukaryotic large subunit ribosomal RNA
Source: RNAcentral
GGAGGAAAAGAAACCAACAGGGAUUKCCUCAGUAACGGCGAGUGAAGCGGCAACAGCUCAGAUUUGAAAUCCGGCCCCCAGGCCCGAGUUGUAAUCUGCAGAGGAUGCUUCGGGGCGGCCCCCGGUCCAAGCCCCUUGGAACAGGGCGUCGUAGAGGGUGAGGAUCCCGUCCACGGCCGGGCGGACCGCCCCGUGCGAAGCUCCUUCGACGAGUCGAGUUGUUUGGGAAUGCAGCUCCAAACGGGAGGCAUAUUCCUCCCAAGGCUAAAUACCGGCCGGAGACCGAUAGCGCACAAGUAGAGUGAUCGAAAGAUGAAAAGCACUUUGGAAAGAGAGUUAAAAAGUACGUGAAAUUGUCGAAAGGGAAGCGUCUGCGGCCAGACCUGGUGGCGGUUGCUCAGCCGGCCCUUCGGGGCCGGCGCACUCUCCCGCCACCUGGCCAGCAUCGGUCCGGGCGGCCGGACAAAGGCCCCGGGAACGUGGCCCCCUCGCGGGGUGUUAUANCCCGGGGCACAAUGCGGCCCGCCCGGACCGAGGACAGCGUCCGCUAGGAUGCUGG